AGCCGCUCCCGAGUCUGCGGCGGGCCCGGCGGCAGGCGCCGCCAGGGGCCCAGGGAAGGGGAGGAGCCCAGGAGCUGCCCCCUGCCCCCAGACGCAGGAACUCAGCGGGGGUAGGAUUUCCGUGGGAGAAGACCCCAGAACGGCUGGGACCCAGAGCUGGCGGGCCCUGAGGGCGAGCAGCGCGGCACGGCACCGGGCGGGGUUCCAGGAACAAGAGCGUCACAGACAGAUUGUCCCACUCCCGGUCUCUGCUGCCGCAGGACGCUGCCCCUUCAUGCAGCCGUUGUCUACACUGUCGGGACCCUUGGGGUGCAGAGGCCAAACUCCGUGCGCCAGGGGCGAGGCGGCUUUUCAACGUUACUCAGAAAAACCAGCAUCAUACUGCGGCCCCAGGACCACAAAAAAUGUCUCCUGUGCAGUUGGCGGAACCGAGGGACACCUCGUCCUCGAGCGGGAGCCACGCCGAAGAGCGAACACACACCACACACACCGGAGCCUGCGGGGAAGGGCGUGGAGCCGCGUGGGAGCCGCGGAGGAGAGAAGGCAGGAGCGGUUUGGACGGCACCCUGGGAGGGAUUUUUGUCAGGAAUUCGCGAGAGGGAUUGAAUGUCCUAAAAUCGACCACAAUUCUCCAUUGUUCCAGGAAAGAGCACACUAGUACCCACCCCCCCCAGCGUGUUUGGGAAAAUGUUCGCAUCCGCACAGCAGGGGGGAGGAAACAGGAAACCAGGAUCAAGACACAGGAUUGGCCCAGCAUGAACGUCCAUCAGGAAGGCCUGGUGCUUCUCUCUAGGACGGGUGGUGAGGACGCUGCGGCUGUCUACUUCCAUGGUGGGGGCCAGGCUCAGGGUGAAUCCAAUGGCAGAACCGAGAGAGGUCCCGAGCACAGAAGCUGGUUCUUGUGACCUCACUGGGAUGCCUACAUCAAGCCUUUCCUGCAUCCAGUUGUCGCUGGUCAGUAACAUUCCCUUCCAGGUCUAAGCCUGCUGAUGUGGGGUUUUCUGUCACUUACAAUGCACAUUCCUAGAGGACACCACUGCCCAGCCCUGGGCUUGGUCAUGGUAAGUAUUCAGUCCACUGCAUUUAUUCCAUGAGAGUUGCCCUGGGGUCAUAGGGCAGAUGCUGCCUUUGCCCACCCCACCCCCAUCGGCUCCCUCAAUUCCUCACCAGACCCCUUAUCAGGCACCUCUGCAUACCCAGAACCUUUCGUGUGGACCACUCAAAAUACACUGGAGCUCAAACACGUAAGCUGGAUGAAUGGUCACUCCAAGAUGGAAUUGCUGUGGAUUUCAAAACGAGGUGCACCUGCUCAAAGUCAGCCUGCACGCCAGUUCCGCCCGACCCCCGCCCUGUCCAGGAGGACAUAAAGGUGCUGAGAGGGGACUUUGGAGGAGAGAGUCUGGGUUAUGUUUGGAGAGUCUUAGCCAUUCUGUAAAUGCUCACUGUCCCCACACAAGGGGGACAUGUGUGAAUGCUUCCAGGCUCACUUGGAGGCCCUGGAGACUGUGCACUGGGGUCUGAUGCUAGAGGGAUCCAGUGUCACCCAAGGCAUUGCCAAGAGAAGGGAGUCCAGAGGGUGCUGCCCUGGGAACAGCCCACUUCCCAGAGUCCCUCAGGGUCGAGGAUGCCAGGUGCUCCCCGGAUCCCCAGGCUGAGAGGAAGUGGGCACUCACAGAGGAGCCUGCGUGCAGAGAACAGUGCAGAAGACAGAUGCUGAGGAUCCCAGGAGCGGCCGUCUGCAGGAACGCAGCGUCCUUCUCAUCGCGGGAGUUGCAGUCGGCAGAGGUCACGUGGAACCUUCCACGAGCUGUCAAACCACCCAUGCAAGACAGACGGCUGAAAGCAGGAAGCGGUCCACGCCAGCAGGCAGGGUGGGAGUAGGGUAGAAGCUACAGGUGAACUAAGAAGGCAGUGGCCUCCUGCCCCAUCGGGACUUUAGGUUAAACUAAUCUCUGAAUGGUGUGUGGGCCGCACACCUGAGCAUGAGCAGGCGGGUCCUGACACCUGGCCCGGUUUUCACCUGAAGUAGACACUGCCGCCUCCCACCGAGUGCACUCUAAAGAGGGGUGCAGCAGGAGAGAGGGCUGCUGCAUCCUGACUGCAUGACAGGGGAUGUCUGCUCGCUACCCAGGUGUGCACACCCAGGGCUUCCACCAGCUGCACGCUGGACUGUGCCUGUCCCCUGCGCUCACCAGCACCAGCGCUUGUUACAUAUGUUUAUCUUUCACAGCUUAAUUACUGUGUGAGGUGAGGCUGCAUUAUGGAGUGUCAAUGCUCUAAUGACCCACAAAGUGAGAUGUCGUUUUCACUUUGCUGGGAACACCCUGUCUGGGAGGGUCAAAGUUGUUACAAGCCCCUUCCGUUUAUGAUGAUUUUCCCCUUGUCUUAGGACCUUGUGCCGGCCCCUCUGUGCGGCUCUUCAUCUCGCUAUGCCCUGUUAAGUUCUGGAUGUAGCUCGGCCCUGCCAGGGGUUUGUGUGCUGGAGCCUCGGUGGGGCCAUGUUAAGAGGCAGUGGGGUGGGGGUGGGGCAUAGUGGGUAAAGCCAGCAAUGCAGGUGGGCACAGGUUCGAGUCCCAGCUGCUCCACUUCCAAGCCAGCUCUCUGCUAUGGCUCCAGGCUCCUGGCUUCAGAUCAGCACAUCUUGGCCAUUGUGGCCAUCUCAGGGGUGAACCAGCGGAUGGAAGACCUCUUUCUCUCUGUUUCCCUAUAACUCUGACUUUCAAAUAAAUAAAUAAAUAAAUAGGCAGUGGGACCUUUAAGAGGCGGGGCCCAGUAGGAGGUGGUUACGGACCCCUGCUGGCUUUCUGUGUCACUGUGUCUCCUCUCCCUCAAGUGCCCAGGCUGAUGCCAUUCUCUGCGAGGCCCUUCCCAGAGCCAGGGCCAUGCUCCUUGGACUCUCAGCCUCUAAAAUUGUGAGCGAAAGGAGGUAAACUUGUCUUCCUUACAAGCACCCAGCCUUAGGUAUUCCAUCAGAGUUACAGGAAACGGACCAAAGCUGCACUAGUUCUACCGUGGAACAAUCCUUUCUUUGCAGAGAUCCAGCCCACGGCCACAUCACUGGGUCAAGGCACAGGCACUGGCUUUGAAUGCCGGCAGCCUGGGUUCAACACAGUGUUCUGUGAUUCUAGUAAGUUCUUACUUUCCUCUCUUAAACAGGGUCCAGAGCCUCAGUCCUAUCCUGGAAAUGCAGCUGGCCCCGCUGUAUGAUGGCUCUGCUUAGGGAUUCCCGACUGCAGUGUUACGAAAGCAACACACACGCAGUACUGUGCUGCAGCUUCCACGUGUUAGUAACUUUGGUCUGUUGCCAGGCUGAUGGUAGGCAGUGCAGUCCUCCAGCCAGCCGUGCGGCCACACAGGGAAAACCGCAGUGCUGUAGAGUGUGCUGCUCAGCCCCUAGCACCUUCAGCUCACGGCCGGCUCACCAGGUCACGACCAUCGGAAGUCCAGGCCCAUCAGUUGCAGUGGGUGGCUGUGGGCAAUAAGACUCCCUGCGUAAAGCCCACGGCACAGUCACUGCACUUAAACAGCAGGGGGCGAGUUUUCAUAUUGUCACUACACCUCCCUGUCUUUUUCUUCCUUACAUCAUUGAGACAACAUGCAACUACCUGUUCUUUUAAUUUUUUAAUAAUUUCUAAAUCACCAGGAAUUCCUCACAGGGUCUGGGACCUGAUAUGGAUUAAGAUUUCUCUUUCCCUAGAUUAAAAUCCUGUUUUCCCAUCUACCUGUGUUUAAUACCUUCUCCAUAUCAUAAGAAAUGACUCUUACGAAUUGAUUUUUUCUUUUUUUUUUUUUUUUUGACAGGCAGAGUGGACAGUGAGAGAGAGAGAGACAGAGAGAAAGGUCUUCCUUUUGCCGUUGGUUCACCCUCCA
This is a non-coding RNA of Oryctolagus cuniculus (rabbit), 3870 nucleotides long. NCBI's taxonomy places the organism in Eukaryota, Metazoa, Chordata, Mammalia, Lagomorpha, Leporidae. The record is from RefSeq and is a predicted model, not a curated record.